Molecule: unclassified non-coding RNA, 163 nt
Filed under: uncultured Helotiales
Lineage: Eukaryota; Fungi; Ascomycota; Leotiomycetes; Helotiales
Description: sequence contains ITS1
Source: RNAcentral
CAGAGAAAGUGCCCUUCGGGGUAUAUCUCCCUCCCUUUGUUUACAAUACCAUUGUUGCUUUGGCAGGCCCGUCGUUAGACCACUGGCUACUGCUGGUUAGUGCCUGCCAGAGGACCCUAAAAUCUUUGCAAUUUUGUUGUCUGAGCAUUAUAUAUAAUAACUA